RNAcentral lists this ribosomal RNA (458 nucleotides) under uncultured bacterium. RNAcentral describes it as "partial 16S ribosomal RNA". It matches the Rfam family "Bacterial small subunit ribosomal RNA", at positions 338 to 795 of the family's 1533-position model. The record is from RNAcentral.
CCUACGGGAGGCAGCAGUGGGGAAUAUUGCACAAUGGGGGAAACCCUGAUGCAGCGACGCCGCGUGAGUGAAGAAGUAUUUCGGUAUGUAAAGCUCUAUCAGCAGGGAAGAAAUACUGACCUUACGGUCAGCAGACGGUACCUGACUAAGAAGCCCCGGCUAACUACGUGCCAGCAGCCGCGGUAAUACGUAGGGGGCAAGCGUUAUCCGGAUUUACUGGGUGUAAAGGGAGCGUAGACGGCAGCGCACGUCUGAAGUGAAAUCCCAUGGCUUAACCAUGGAACUGCUUUGGAAACUGUGCAGCUGGAGUGCAGGAGAGGUAAGCGGAAUUCCUAGUGUAGCGGUGAAAUGCGUAGAUAUUAGGAGGAACACCAGUGGCGAAGGCGGCUUACUGGACUGUAACUGACGUUGAGGCUCGAAGGUGCGGGUAUCAAACAGGAUUAGAUACCCGAGUAGUC